RNAcentral lists this ribosomal RNA (253 nucleotides) under uncultured bacterium. Its description in RNAcentral is "partial 16S ribosomal RNA". It matches the Rfam family "Bacterial small subunit ribosomal RNA", at positions 524 to 776 of the family's 1533-position model. The record is from RNAcentral.
UACGGAGGGUGCAAGCAUUGAUCGGAAUUACUGGGUGUAAAGGGCGCGUAGGCGGCUUAAAAAGUCAGAUGUGAAAUUCCGGGGCUCAACCCCGGAGCUGCAUUUGAAACUUUUAGACUAGAGGUUAGUAAGGGAAAACGGAAUUCCACGUGUAGCGGUGAAAUGCGUAGAUAUGUGGAAGAACACCGGUGGUGAAGACGGUUUUCUGUGCUAAACCUGACGCUGAGGCGCGAAAGCUAGGGGAGCAAACAGG